UACGAAGGGGGCUAGCGUUGCUCGGAAUGACUGGGCGUAAAGGGCGCGUAGGCGGUUUGGACAGUCAGAUGUGAAAUUCCUGGGCUCAACCUGGGGGCUGCAUUUGAUACGUUCGGACUAGAGUGGGGAAGAGGGUCGUGGAAUUCCCAGUGUAGAGGUGAAAUUCGUAGAUAUUGGGAAGAACACCGGUGGCGAAGGCGGCCUGCUGGGCUAUGGCUGACACUGAGGCGCGACAGCGUGGGGAGCAAACAGG
This 253-nucleotide ribosomal RNA is filed under the name uncultured bacterium. RNAcentral's name for it is "partial 16S ribosomal RNA". It matches the Rfam family "Bacterial small subunit ribosomal RNA", at positions 524 to 776 of the family's 1533-position model. The record is from RNAcentral.